RNAcentral lists this ribosomal RNA (407 nucleotides) under uncultured bacterium. RNAcentral's name for it is "partial 16S ribosomal RNA". It matches the Rfam family "Bacterial small subunit ribosomal RNA", at positions 30 to 526 of the family's 1533-position model. The record is from RNAcentral.
AUUGAACGCUGGCGGCAGGCCUAACACAUGCAAGUCGAGCGGAGCGGCGGACGGGUGAGUAAUGCCUAGGAAUCUGCCUGGUAGUGGGGGAUAACGUCCGGAAACGGGCGCUAAUACCGCAUACUAUCAGAUGAGCCUAGGUCGGAUUAGCUAGUUGGUGGGGUAAAGGCCUACCAAGGCGACGAUCCGUAACUGGUCUGAGAGGAGGAUCAGUCACACUGGAACUGAGACACGGUCCAGACUCGACCCAAACUACCCCAUAUGCAAUAUUGGACAGUGAGCGAAAGCCUGAUCCAGCCAUGCCGCGUGUGUGAAGAACUUCUUCGGAUUUUAAAGCACUUUAAGUUGGGAGGCGUUACCAACAGAAUAAGCACCGGCUAACUUCGUGCCAGCAGCCGCGGUAAUUC